RNAcentral lists this ribosomal RNA (253 nucleotides) under uncultured bacterium. RNAcentral's name for it is "partial 16S ribosomal RNA". It matches the Rfam family "Bacterial small subunit ribosomal RNA", at positions 524 to 776 of the family's 1533-position model. The record is from RNAcentral.
UACGUAGGGUGCGAGCGUUAAUCGGAAUUACUGGGCGUAAAGCGUGCGCAGGCGGUUUUGUAAGCCAGGUGUGAAAGCCCCGGGCUCAACCUGGGAAUGGCAUUUGGGACUGCAAGGCUGGAGUAUGGCAGAGGAGACUAGAAUUCCUGGUGUAGCAGUGAAAUGCGUAGAUAUCAGGAGGAACACCAAUAGCGAAGGCAGCUCGCUGGGACGGUACUGACGCUAAGGCGCGAAAGCGUGGGGAGCGAACAGG